UACGUAGGGUGCGAGCGUUGUCCGGAAUUACUGGGCGUAAAGAGCUCGUAGGUGGUUUGUCGCGUUGUCCGUGAAAACUCACAGCUUAACUGUGGGCGUGCGGGCGAUACGGGCAGACUGGAGUACUGCAGGGGAGACUGGAAUUCCUGGUGUAGCGGUGGAAUGCGCAGAUAUCAGGAGGAACACCGGUGGCGAAGGCGGCAUCCUGGACCAAUAUUGACGCUGAGGAGCGAAAGCCAGGGGAGCAAACGGG
RNAcentral lists this ribosomal RNA (253 nucleotides) under uncultured bacterium. RNAcentral's name for it is "partial 16S ribosomal RNA". It matches the Rfam family "Bacterial small subunit ribosomal RNA", at positions 524 to 776 of the family's 1533-position model. The record is from RNAcentral.